RNAcentral lists this ribosomal RNA (475 nucleotides) under uncultured bacterium. RNAcentral's name for it is "SSU rRNA". It matches the Rfam family "Bacterial small subunit ribosomal RNA", at positions 26 to 518 of the family's 1533-position model. The record is from RNAcentral.
AGGACGAACGCUGGCGGCGUGCUUAACACAUGCAAGUCGAGCGGAAAGGCCCUUCGGGGUACUCGAGCGGCGAACGGGUGAGUAACACGUGAGUAAUCUGCCCCUAGCUCUGGGAUAGCUCCGGGAAACCGGGAUUAAUACCGGAUACGACCACUUUAGACAUCUGUUGUGGUGGAAAGAAUUUUGGCUAGGGAUGAGCUCGCGGCCUAUCAGCUUGUUGGUGGGGUAAUGGCCUACCAAGGCGACGACGGGUAGCCGGCCUGAGAGGGCGACCGGCCACACUGGGACUGAGACACGGCCCAGACUCCUACGGGAGGCAGCAGUGGGGAAUAUUGCGCAAUGGGCGAAAGCCUGACGCAGCGACGCCGCGUGGGGGAUGAAGGCCUUCGGGUUGUAAACCCCGUUUCAGCAGGGACGAAGCGAAAGUGACGGUACCUGCAGAAGAAGCGCCGGCUAACUACGCGCCAGCAGCCGC